UAUGGUCAUGUCACUUUGAAAGACUUGUUCUCAUACGAUCACAGAAGUUAAGCAACGUCGAACAAGGUCAGUAUCUAGAUGGCUGACCGCUUGGAAAUAACAGGUGCAGUAA
Non-coding RNA from Acanthosepion pharaonis, 112 nucleotides. The record is from the annotation of a GenBank genome assembly. NCBI's taxonomy places the organism in Eukaryota, Metazoa, Mollusca, Cephalopoda, Sepiida, Sepiidae.